UACGAAGGGGGCGAGCGUUGUUCGGAUUUACUGGGCGUAAAGGGCGCGCAGGCGGCGCAUUUUGUCAGGCGUGAAAGCCCCGGGCUUAACCUGGGAACUGCGUUUGAUACGGAUGGGCUAGAGUUCGGGAGAGGAGAGUGGAAUUCCCAGUGUAGAGGUGAAAUUCGUAGAUAUCAGGAGGAACACCGGUGGCGAAGGCGGCUUUCUGGACGACAACUGACGCUGAGACGCGAAAGCGUGGGGAGCAAACAGG
This 253-nucleotide ribosomal RNA is filed under the name uncultured bacterium. RNAcentral's name for it is "partial 16S ribosomal RNA". It matches the Rfam family "Bacterial small subunit ribosomal RNA", at positions 524 to 776 of the family's 1533-position model. The record is from RNAcentral.